This is an RNA transcript of Manduca sexta (tobacco hornworm), 339 nucleotides long. RefSeq lists it as uncharacterized. The transcript has 2 exons. NCBI's taxonomy places the organism in Eukaryota, Metazoa, Arthropoda, Insecta, Lepidoptera, Sphingidae. The record is from RefSeq and is a predicted model, not a curated record.
UGCAGAACUAGAUAUAAGUGUGAACAGUCGGCCAGAAAUCGCAGUUCACUCCACUCCUGUGAGGAACAUCCACAACUAUGAUACGAAACCUCUGGCGGUACUUAUAGAAGAGAAGAAGGUGGAGUCGCGCCGAGCUCCGGUGACUCUCUAGCGGUGCGCGGCGAGUACGGAUACGUAGACUCCGCAGGACGACUGUACUCUUUAAAAUAUGUCGCUGAUGUCAAUGGCUUCCGACCAGAAAGUAGUGAUUACUCCGUCCGAUAUAAUGACAGAAGACUUAUUUAAUAAUGCGUUGGUUGAAAUUCGACUGUUGAAUUUAAUAUAUUUGUAACACAUACA